RNAcentral lists this ribosomal RNA (497 nucleotides) under uncultured bacterium. RNAcentral's name for it is "partial 16S ribosomal RNA". It matches the Rfam family "Bacterial small subunit ribosomal RNA", at positions 28 to 507 of the family's 1533-position model. The record is from RNAcentral.
GAUGAACGCUGGCGGCGUGCCUAAUACAUGCAAGUCGAGCGAACAGACGAGGAGCUUGCUCCUCUGACGUUAGCGGCGGACGGGUGAGUAACACGUGGAUAACCUACCUAUAAGACUGGGAUAACUUCGGGAAACCGGAGCUAAUACCGGAUAAUAUAUUGAACCGCAUGGUUCAAUAGUGAAAGACGGUUUUGCUGUCACUUAUAGAUGGAUCCGCGCCGCAUUAGCUAGUUGGUAAGGUAACGGCUUACCAAGGCGACGAUGCGUAGCCGACCUGAGAGGGUGAUCGGCCACACUGGAACUGAGACACGGUCCAGACUCCUACGGGAGGCAGCAGUAGGGAAUCCUCCGCAAUGGGCGAAAGCCUGACGGAGCAACGCCGCGUGAGUGAUGAAGGUCUUCGGAUCGUAAAACUCUGUUAUUAGGGAAGAACAAAUGUGUAAGUAACUAUGCACGUCUUGACGGUACCUAAUUAGAAAGCCACGGCUAACUACGUG